This 138-nucleotide ribosomal RNA is filed under the name uncultured bacterium. RNAcentral describes it as "partial 16S ribosomal RNA". It matches the Rfam family "Bacterial small subunit ribosomal RNA", at positions 355 to 509 of the family's 1533-position model. The record is from RNAcentral.
UGGGGAAUAUUGCACAAUGGGGGAAACCCGUGAUGCAGCGACGCCGCGUGGGUGAAGAAAUGUUUCGGCAUGUAAAGCCCUAUCAGCAGGGAAGAAAAUGACGGUACCUGACUAAGAAGCCCCGGCUAACUACGUGCC